This 81-nucleotide unclassified non-coding RNA is filed under the name Flavobacterium flevense. RNAcentral's name for it is "Flavo-1 RNA". Lineage: Bacteria; Pseudomonadati; Bacteroidota; Flavobacteriia; Flavobacteriales; Flavobacteriaceae. The record is from RNAcentral.
UGGUAGUCCCGAGACUUCGGGAGGCAUCCUUUAUGUCCUUUCUUUAAGGACAUAAAGAUAGAGCGGAUGACAGGAAUAGCU